UGUAAUCCUCACCUUCUAUUUCCAGAGUGCUGGGAUUACAGGUGUGUGCCACUAUGCCUGGGAAAUCAAUUCAGGAUUUUUGAUGCAUGCUGGGCAAGCAUUCUACCAACUGAGCUUAAAGACUCUUUAAAGUGAUUGGAGUUGUGCUUCAUACAUUUCAGCAGUUCAGCAAUGUUUUAUCUGCCAACUAAGCUUUUCACUUGAGUGCGCCAUGGAAACACUACUAAUGAGACUUGUUGAGCACAAAAGUGGACUCGAAGAGCCAGAAGCCACUGUUUUCAAAUGAAGGAUUCCAAACAGUUUUAAGCCUCAGUGCGUUUAAAUCAACACUGA
This 333-nucleotide long non-coding RNA is filed under the name Meriones unguiculatus (Mongolian gerbil). RNAcentral describes it as "lncRNA (ENSMUGG00000009366.1)". The record is from RNAcentral. Lineage: Eukaryota; Metazoa; Chordata; Mammalia; Rodentia; Muridae.